This 194-nucleotide unclassified non-coding RNA is filed under the name plant metagenome. RNAcentral describes it as "partial contains small subunit ribosomal RNA, internal transcribed spacer 1, and 5.8S ribosomal RNA". The record is from RNAcentral.
UCUCCGUAGGUGAACCUGCGGAAGGAUCAUUACAGAGUUCAUGCCCGAAAGGGUAGACCUCCCACCCUUGUGUAUUAUUACUUUGUUGCUUUGGCGAGCGCAAGCACGCCAGAGAAUACCAAAACUCUUUUUAUUAAUGUCGUCUGAGUACUAUAUAAUAGUUAAAACUUUCAACAACGGAUCUCUUGGUUCUG